This is a non-coding RNA of Pelobates cultripes (western spadefoot toad), 369 nucleotides long. NCBI's taxonomy places the organism in Eukaryota, Metazoa, Chordata, Amphibia, Anura, Pelobatidae. The record is from the annotation of a GenBank genome assembly.
GCUUCUAUCUUUACAUAUUACAAGGAGGGAGCUGCACGCCGGUAGCUCCCUCCUUGUAAUAAACUGAACAAACACUGAUAUUCAGUAUUUGUUCAUCUGAAAUUCUAGUCAUUCAUUCUGCUUUCUGACGAAAGAAUAGAUGAAAUUCCUCUUCGCAUGCCCAAGUGUUUGACUGGGCAUGUGCGGGUAUUUCAUCGUGCUUUCUAGCGUAGGGAUCGACCGAUAUUGAUUUUUAUUUAUUUAUUUGAGCCGAUAUUCUGUACAUUUACCAUUUUGAAAAAAUAAACUAUUUCUUAAGGUAAAUGCACAAAAUAUACAUGUCAAACGUAGUGGAUGCAGAGUGUUUAGACAGGGGAGCUGUGUGUAUUU